This 247-nucleotide long non-coding RNA is filed under the name Homo sapiens (human). RNAcentral's name for it is "HSALNT0325980". The record is from RNAcentral. Lineage: Eukaryota; Metazoa; Chordata; Mammalia; Primates; Hominidae.
GUUUCAGUUCAUUUUAUUGGACUCCUUAUUCAGUAUGAUAUUGGUUGUGGAUUUGUCACAGGUGGUUCUUAUUUUUUAGAGAUUUUUUUCCAUCACUUUACUUUGAGCCUAUCAGUGUCAUUGAAUGGGAGAUCGUUCUCUUGAAGACAGCAUACAAUUGGGUCUUGCUUAUUUAUUCAAUUUUCCACUCUGUGCCUUUUAGGUGGGGUAAGUAGCCUGUUUACAUUCAAACUUAAUAUUGAUAUGC